This 218-nucleotide ribosomal RNA is filed under the name uncultured soil bacterium. Its description in RNAcentral is "partial 16S ribosomal RNA". It matches the Rfam family "Bacterial small subunit ribosomal RNA", at positions 26 to 245 of the family's 1533-position model. The record is from RNAcentral.
AGAUUGAACGCUGGCGGCAUGCCUUACACAUGCAAGUCGAACGGCAGCACGGGAGCAAUCCUGGUGGCGAGUGGCGAACGGGUGAGUAAUAUAAUCGGAACGUGCCCAGUCGUGGGGGAUAACGUAGAGAAAUUUACGCUAAUACCGCAUACGAUCCAAGGAUGAAAGCGGGGGACCGUAAGGCCUCGCGCGACUGGAGCGGCUGAUAUCAGAUUAGC